This is a long non-coding RNA of Dermacentor silvarum, 320 nucleotides long. RefSeq lists it as uncharacterized. The record is from RefSeq and is a predicted model, not a curated record. The transcript is spliced from 3 exons. NCBI's taxonomy places the organism in Eukaryota, Metazoa, Arthropoda, Arachnida, Ixodida, Ixodidae.
ACCCGGAUGUAGGAGAAUGGAUCUGCAUGUUCAGAAACUAUUACGAAGAUCCUGAUUUCGGAGGAAACGCCAAGUGCCUGCGUUAUAAGAGAUUCGGCAGCUACGAGAACUUUACGACAAACGUCGUCUUCACUUUUGGGGAGCAGGGAACACAGAACACAACCGGAAAGUUCGUGCUAGACUCAUCGCCAUGUUACACAGGAAAGGACAUACAGAGCUUCACUCCCGAUAAUCCUGAUACCCCUCUGGAGGAUUACUACGUAAUUUACGUAGACUGCGCAAGUUGCGUUGUUAUUCGACACCGCUAUGCUGACAACGGU